This 2430-nucleotide long non-coding RNA is filed under the name Brassica napus (rape). RNAcentral describes it as "long non-coding RNA (BNAP_LNC017941)". The record is from RNAcentral. Lineage: Eukaryota; Viridiplantae; Streptophyta; Magnoliopsida; Brassicales; Brassicaceae.
CUACCCCUGAAUAAACCACAACUUUGUAUUUUGUGUAAUCAUGAUGCGUGAGGGGCGCUUCAAUGAAAUAAGAUACUGAAUGAGUGAAGAAAUCUGGGGAGAUAUAUCCGAUGGUGAUAGGUCGCUCUGGAUCUUUAAGAUUGUCCCACGAAGUGUACUGUGGGUGUAAUCUUGUGAAGCGCCAACCCCAGUCUCUGUGUUCAUUAAGAGUUUCUAACUGCAAGUUCCAUAAAAGCAACAGAACCAAAACCCAAACUUCUCAUAAUAUAUAUGUUAUUAACCUGUGCGCCUCAUAUAGUUUGUCAUCGAGUCCUUCAUUUAUGUAGUUCAUGGCAAGCAAUCGAUUCUACAUAAUGGAAAGGUAGGUUUCAAACGCAUAGGUCAAAUCACAAAGAGCACGCUAAAGUAGGCAAUUUACCUGGCCAGCAUUGCGAGAAUCUGGAUCUAUCUUAAGGCAUUCCUCAUAAGCAUCAAUAGCCGCCGUUAUAUUUCCAGCGUCUCUGUAAAGAACACCUACAUUUGAAUCGCACCAUGAAACUGGUUAGAACCGAAACUAAACACCAACUAGCUUUAGGAAAGUAGGAAAAAAAUUCAAGCAGUAAUCUAAAAUUCAUAAUAUACAAGCAGUGGUCUCACUAAGGAACUAAACAGAAGAGGAAUCAAACCUAAGUUGUUAAAAGCUUCUGCAUAAGUGGGAUUAGCAUGGAUUGCCUUUUCGAUCAUGCUGGCAGCAGCAUCCAUUUUCCCCUGUAGAAUCAGAGGAAUUGGUAUUCUAUUGACUGUAUAGAUUCUAUCACGAAAACAUGAAGCCACAUUUGAUCUAUAUCAAACCUGGACUGUGUAGACAACACCGAGGUUAUUAAGCGACUGUGCAAAAUUUGGUUUGAUUGACAGAGCCAUCUACAAAGGUUGGGAGUAUUGUUAGCCACAAUAAACAAUGAAAUAAUUUUACAUAAAUAAUACCUGAUAACACUCCACGGCUUUAUCAAGGUUGUCACGGUCUUUGUAAAGUACUCCCAAAUUGUUGCAAGCCUCAGCACAAUGUGGAUUGAAGUGGAAAGCAAGCUCAUAGAAGACAAUUGCCUGCACAAAAGAACACAAUCAUGACCACAUACAUAGUUCAUUAUUUACCUCCAUUUCUCAUUCUAAAUAAUCAGGAAACUAAGUACAGAGUUUUGUACUGAUUGCGAGAACAUGGACAGAAGGAUGCAGCUAUGGGUAGACAAAAUUAACAAGAUAUAGAUAAUUAUAUCAUGCAAAUAAACGAUCCGAAGAAUUUAAUAAACACGCACACAAUUACUGACUUACAUAAAUGAAUAAAUCACAAAUUAAAUACCAUGUCAAACUUCAGCAUUUCACCAUAAGCGACCCCAAGAUUAUACAUAGCAUCUGCAUAGUGCCAGUUAUAAUAGAGAGCCUUCUUGUAAUACGCCACUCCUUGGCUCACAUCGCCUUCAAGUUUAACCUGAAGAAACAUCACUGAUAACUCAGAUACACUCACAGCUGAACAACUAAAUUUUAAUAAAACUUAAGGAUUAUUAUUACCUUUGUUCCUAAAUCUGUCAGAGCUAUGGCCAUAUUAUUCUUGGCAAUCUCAAAGUUUGGAGAUACAGCUAGACAUCUAAUGGGUGGAUUCACUCUGAAACCCAAGAAAACCUUCCUGUUAUGAACAAGAACGUACUUCUGUUUGGUAUCUGGUGGAUCAGCCAACGAAUCCGUAAUUCUGUAAUCAACAGUGGGUAAACCCGUAGUAUUUGGAUAGCCGAUCCAAGUAACCUGAUAUUUUAACCAGUUAAAGUAAACUUGAAAUGAAAAUUUCCACAAAAAAGUUCCUAAAGAACAAUAUGAGACAAUAUUAUAGAUCCUCUCUCACCUGAAGAGGUGCUGGUCUGCAGGCCAUUGUUCCCAACUUGUUGUUAGCAGUAUGGCCAGUGAGUUCUACCAAAAUGUCGAUUUUGUCUUCUCGGACCAUACUUGCAAUCUUUUUCUCAUCUAUUCCGUAUAUAUCUUUCCAAACUCCACCUUUCUUCAACACUUUAUCCCUAAACCUGAAUGUUUUUGCAUCUUCCUGUAGAACCAUGAGAGAGAAAGGAUUGCUCAAAAGAGAAAAAAAAAUUGAAUAGAAUUGCUUUUACAUAAAACAUAAUCAUAUAUGGAGAAGCUUUUUCAAGAAAAACCAUACCUUAACUACCCCUGAAUAAACCACAACUUUGUAUUUUGUGUAAUCAUGAUGCGUGAGGGGCGCUUCAAUGAAAUAAGAUACUGAAUGAGUGAAGAAAUCUGGGGAGAUAUAUCCGAUGGUGAUAGGUCGCUCUGGAUCUUUAAGAUUGUCCCACGAAGUGUACUGUGGGUGUAAUCUUGUGAAGCGCCAACCCCAGUCUCUGUGUUCAUUAAGAGUUUCUAACUGCAAGUUCCAUAAAAGCAACAGAA